Hipposideros armiger (great roundleaf bat) is the source of this 322-nucleotide long non-coding RNA. RefSeq lists it as uncharacterized. Lineage: Eukaryota; Metazoa; Chordata; Mammalia; Chiroptera; Hipposideridae. The transcript is spliced from 3 exons. The record is from RefSeq and is a predicted model, not a curated record.
CUUUUGAAUUGCUAGAACAGAGGAGCCGAACUCAGAUACGCAGAGGAGCCAGGAAAUCAUUAUGGAUGACAAAUCUGUUACUGACUGUAACACAGGAGCUGGACUCCUGGCAGGCUCUUGGAUUUGGUGCGGCUGAAAACAGACAACGGAACCACAGCCUAACUUCAUUUUCGAGCUGAGGUCAUCGAUGAGCUUCCACGUCGCUCCGCGGAAGGCGUUCGGCUAGUUCGGGCUGCGUUGCUUCACGCGGAAGUGGGCUGAAGGCGCAGGUGUGUGUCGACUUCCUUAUUCUGUUGCCGACAUGGCCGACUCUGACCCCCGC